RNAcentral lists this ribosomal RNA (780 nucleotides) under uncultured archaeon. RNAcentral's name for it is "bacterial SSU rRNA". It matches the Rfam family "Archaeal small subunit ribosomal RNA", at positions 38 to 828 of the family's 1478-position model. The record is from RNAcentral.
UGCAUGUCUAGCCAUGCGAGUCUUUGCAGUAAUGCAAGGCAUACGGCUCAGUAACACGUAGUCAACUUACCCUAUGGACGAGGAUAAUCUCGGGAAACUGAGCAUAAUACUCGAUAGAUCAUAAUGCCUGGAAUGGUUUAUGGUUGAAAUGAUUCGUCGCCAUAGGAUGGGACUGCGGCCUAUCAGCUUGUUGGUGAGGUAAUGGCCCACCAAGGCGAUUACAGGUACGGGCUCUGAGAGGAGAGGCCCGGAGAUGGGUACUGAGACAAGGACCCAGGCCCUAUGGGGCGCAGCAGGCGAGAAAACUUUGCAAUGUGCGAAAGCACGACAAGGUUAAUCCGAGUGAUUUCUGCUAAAGAAAUCUUUUGCAAGUCAUAAAACCACUAGUGAAUAAGGGGUGGGCAAGUUCUGGUGUCAGCCGCCGCGGUAAAACCAGCACCUCAAGUGGUCAGGAGGAUUAUUGGGCCUAAAGCAUCCGUAGCCGGCUCUGUAAGUUUUCGGUUAAAUCCAUGUGCUCAACGCAUGGGCUGCCGAAAAUACUGCAUAGCUAGGGAGUGGGAGAGGUAGACGGUACUCGGUAGGAAGGGGUAAAAUCCUUUGAUCUAUCGAUGACCACCUGUGGCGAAAGCGGUCUACCAGAGCACGUUCGACGGUGAGGGAUGAAAGCUGGGGGAGCAAACCCGGGAUUAGAAUACCUAGUAGUUCCAAGCCUGUAAACGGAUGCCAGACUCGAAUGAAUGCAAUUUGGCAUAUAGCCAGGUGCCAGGUGUUUCGCGCCAG